Molecule: RNase P RNA, 416 nt
Filed under: Micromonospora sp. WMMD812
Lineage: Bacteria; Bacillati; Actinomycetota; Actinomycetes; Micromonosporales; Micromonosporaceae
Description: RNase P RNA component class A
Rfam family: Bacterial RNase P class A
About the family: Ribonuclease P (RNase P) is a ubiquitous endoribonuclease, found in archaea, bacteria and eukarya as well as chloroplasts and mitochondria. Its best characterised activity is the generation of mature 5'-ends of tRNAs by cleaving the 5'-leader elements of precursor-tRNAs.
Source: RNAcentral
CGAGUCGACCGGGCGGCCGCGUCGGCGGGCUUCGGCCCGCCGCCGAGGAACGUCCGGACUCCACAGGGCAGGGUGGUUGCUAACGGCAACCCGGGGUGACCCGCGGGACAGUGCCACAGAAAACAGACCGCCGGCCCCAUCGGGGACGGUAAGGGUGAAACGGUGGGGUAAGAGCCCACCAGCACCCCGGGUGACCGGGGUGGCUCGGUAAACCCCACCCGGAGCAAGGCCAAGAGAGGGCUGUCGCCCGCAAGGGACGACGACCCGCGCAGACGCUCGAGGACGGCCCGUCCGAUGUCUGCGGGUAGGCCGCUGGAGCCUGCCGGCGACGGCAGGCCGAGAUGGAUGGCCGCCGCCGGCGCGGACCUUCGGGUCCGCGCCGCGCACAGAAUCCGGCGUACAGGUCGACUCGUCCG